CCUACGGGAGGCAGCAGUGAGGAAUUUUCCGCAAUGGGCGAAAGCCUGACGGAGCAAUGCCGCGUGGAGGAGGAAGGCCUGUGGGCCGUAAACUCCUUUUCUCAGAGAAGAAGUUCUGACGGUAUCUGAGGAAUAAGCAUCGGCUAACUCUGUGCCAGCAGCCGCGGUAAUACAGGGGAUGCAAGCGUUAUCCGGAAUUAUUGGGCGUAAAGCGUCCUGAGGUGGCUUACCCAGUCGACUGUGAAAGCUCAAGGCUUAACCUUGAAACGGCAGUCGAAACUUGUAAGCUUGAGUACGGUAGGGGCAGAGGGAAUUCCCGGAGGAGAGGUGAAAUUCGUAGAUAUCGGGAGGAAGGCCAAAGGCGAAAGCACUCUGCUGGGCCGAUUACUGACACUGACAGACGAAAGCUAGGGGAGCGAAAGGGAUUAGAUACCCCUGUAGUCCUAGCCGUAAACGAUGGAUACUAAGUGUUGCGCGACUCAAAACGUGCAGUGCUGCAGCUAACGCGGUAAGUAUCCCGCCUGGGGAGUAUGCCGCAAGGGUGAAACUCAAAUGAAUUGACGG
This 564-nucleotide ribosomal RNA is filed under the name uncultured bacterium. RNAcentral's name for it is "bacterial SSU rRNA". It matches the Rfam family "Bacterial small subunit ribosomal RNA", at positions 338 to 916 of the family's 1533-position model. The record is from RNAcentral.